UACGUAGGGUCCGAGCGUUGUCCGGAAUUAUUGGGCGUAAAGAGCUCGUAGGCGGUUUGUUGCGUCGGCUGUGAAAUCCCGAGGCUCAACCUCGGGUCUGCAGUCGAUACGAGCAAACUAGAGUGUUGCAGGGGAGACUGGAAUUCCUGGUGUAGCGGUGAAAUGCGCAGAUAUCAGGAGGGAACACCCGGUGGCGAAGGCGGGGUCUCUGGGCAACAACUGACGC
RNAcentral lists this ribosomal RNA (226 nucleotides) under uncultured bacterium. RNAcentral's name for it is "partial 16S ribosomal RNA". It matches the Rfam family "Bacterial small subunit ribosomal RNA", at positions 524 to 746 of the family's 1533-position model. The record is from RNAcentral.